Molecule: unclassified non-coding RNA, 620 nt
Filed under: Hevea brasiliensis (rubber tree)
Lineage: Eukaryota; Viridiplantae; Streptophyta; Magnoliopsida; Malpighiales; Euphorbiaceae
Source: RNAcentral
GUGCGAGGGUGUCCCACUUCUCUCUUCAAGUUUUUUCUUCAGUGGUAGUUUCUCAGUAACCCUCCCCUGUCCUUUGGGCAGGGGAAGGUCUCUCCUCCCACUCGAAGGGUGGAUCCAACGUCAUCCUCUUAUAAUUUUGAUUUGGGUUGUUUUUUGAUCAGCCUGCAUCAAAGAGAGGGUUCCAAAAUAGAUCGGCUUAAUUGUUUUCAAUCUCUGUUUUUGGGUGUUCUCCCAUCGGCUGGCAUCAACAAUAAUGAUGGUACUAGGUAGUUGCCGUCUUCAUUUUCGUCAAGGCUAUAUGAGAAUGAGAUGCCCAUCUUGCCAAGCCUUUUCCCGGUUAAAUCCGGCACUAGUCCUAACCUAGAUUUUCUUGAGCUCUGCUGCAAGGACUUAUGGGUCCCCCCUGUGUCUUAUUUCGUGUCCUUUGACAGUUUCCACCAUGGAAGAUGAUGUUUUAUGCUAAGAAAGAUGGAGCUGCUUCUGUCAGAGAGAUUGAAGAUUUGAGUGUUACCCAUUUUCUUCUAAGGAUUCGAUGUGUUUAAUGGAUCUGGGUUAUCUUGUGGCAAAGUUAUUUUUUAUGGGUUUUACGGCUUGUAUCUGUGAUCCUAUCUAUGAAGUAU